RNAcentral lists this long non-coding RNA (5509 nucleotides) under Phaseolus vulgaris (common bean). RNAcentral's name for it is "long non-coding RNA (PVUL_LNC000067)". The record is from RNAcentral. Lineage: Eukaryota; Viridiplantae; Streptophyta; Magnoliopsida; Fabales; Fabaceae.
AAAUAUAUAAUGGAGGUUGGUAGUCCUAUAAUUUUUUGGACAUUUAAGUUGGACCUUUAAUGCUGAAAAUAAAUAUGAAUUUCACCUCAUAGAGUAUAUUUUGACAUCAAUUUAAUCCUUAAUUUUGCUUGUUUCAGAUUUACACAACAAAAAACCAAACUGAUGUCCUAAAUCUAUAGAAGACCAACAUGAUGACAUCCCAUGUAUCUUUGGAUGACCAAUUUGAGUAUUUAGUUUGAAAACUAUUUGUAAUUGAACAAGACACAACUCUAUCAGUUGAUUACAAUCCUUCAACAAAACAGCACUUUUCUCUUAAGAUAAGAGCAUGUGAAAUUGUGAACUUCCUUUCCUUUUCAAUUAAUGCUGAUACGAGGAGUGUUUUGGUAGUGGUUUUUACUUUCUUAUACUUGAAUUCUAUAGCAGUCAGGCUCCAAGCCUAUAAUUGAUGAAUGUUUCUUUCUUGUUGCUAAUUGUUUCAUGUGUUCGCCAAUGUCUUCAAACUGCAACCAUGUAAAUGCAAAGACAAGUCAGCAACUGAUCCAUAAAUCAGAGGGAAGCAACUCAACAAAAUAUAUGUUAUAUGUUUUCUGAUCUGCAACAGUGAAUGAGACUUGACCACAAUAGGGAAACCCUAUGGAAUAAUUUAUCACCUUCCAUCUAGAAAACAAAAUAAAGUCUAAUGUCGAUGUUGCAUACUUUGUGUAUUUCUCUUCCAAGCAAGUUCCUUUUUAUCAGAUAUUGUAUGGUGCCUGCACCCUCCACCUUUUUAGUCCAUGUUUAUAAACUAAAGUUGGAAAUUCGUGUUGUCUUUAGUUCAACAGACAAGUUUGUUGCCUCGAUGCUGUUAAUAGAACCAGUUUCUCCACUUCAAGACAAAAGCUUCCAUUACAAUGCAUACUCCGCAAAUUUAGAUUUUUAUCAGCAACCUGCAAAAGAUACCAUUUUCAAACAACCAUGUGAGCCUCAAGUAAAAAUAUUCAUGAGUGAGUAGGAAACACAGAGUAAACUAUAUAAUCAUAGAUCUGAGAUUCAAAUCAAGAUGAUAUAAUUGCUAGCUCAUUUGGUGACAUCUAGGAACAAAAUUAUUCUACUUGUCUCCCUCAAUUUAUUUGCUAUAUAUGGAGCUGAUGGAAAAUACUAGGACUCAGACUUCAGAACAAGUUGUGCAUAUCAUCUCCUACUUUGGUAUCCCGCUAUUAUCUUCUCUAACAAGAGUAAAUGGAAAGAAGCGCAAAGAAGUCUCUGCACAUUCGGUGCAACAGUUUACCCUCUUCACCUCACCCACUUUUAUCACAAUUCCAGGAUCACUUGCAGAGAUUGAAAGACUCUGAAGCCACCAGAAUUUCUCUGUCAUCAUCUUCAAUAAGCCAAAAUCUAAUUGGCUUGCUUGAUUUGCAUGACUAUGCUGAUAAGUUGUUCCAGUUGCCCACUAUCCAACAAGCCUUUGCACAAGAAUGCAGUGACAAGUGUGUUGAUGUUCUGUUAGAAGGGUCAUUGGCACUCCUGGAUAUCUGUAGUACAGCCCAAGAUUGCCUCUUGCAAUCAAAGGAAAGCAUUCACAUGGUUCAUUCAGUUAUUCGAAGAAAGGGUGCUGACACUGAAUUCACAGUUGAGGGUGGAAAAUACUUGGCAUCUAGGAAGAAGAUGAAGAAGGCAAUUCGAAAGGCCUUAGGAAAUUUAAAAGGAAAGAAAAGCGAUUUAAUUGUUUCUUCCUCAAACAACGACAAUGAGGCUUUGUCUAUCCUUGGCAUGUUAAAAGAAGCAGAAGCUGUCACUGUGAGGUCUUUAGAGUCCUUGUUGCUGUUUGUCUCUCACUCCAAGGGACAAUCAAAGCAGAACAGAUGGUCAAUAAUAUCUAAGCUGAUGCAGCCUGAUAGAAUAAACUGUGACUCUCAAGAAGACACAAAUGAAUUUGUAAAGAUGGAUACAACUUUGCAAUCAGUCGUUAGUCACAAGCCUUUAUAUGUUGAGAAUUUUCACAGCCAUGUGGAAAAUUUGGAGAUAUGCAUUGAAGAUCUAGAAGUAGCUGUUGAACACCUUUCAAGGAAACUCAUUAAAGCAAGAGUAUCCCUUCUUAACAUAUUCAGCCACUAGUUAGAGAAAAAAAUCUAAAUGUUGUAUAUAUGCAGACACCCAAAUUCAAUUUUUGACCUACAGUUGUACAUAGAUAUGAUUAAAACUUACUAAAUACAAUAAUCAAAUGAUCAAAUUUCUUUCUUUUUCACUUGCUUUCUUUGUUCCUUUCUUUCCUGCUAGGUUGAUUGCUUUCUUUAUUUCUUUCUUAGCAAAUUCUAUGCCCAUGUGUAAAUUCUGUUUGCUUGAUUGAACGGGUUGAAGAAAGUGACUGCCACAGUCACCCUUACGAAGUUUCAUUCUUUGGAAAUUCUUACCUAGGUCUAAAUUGCUAUUGAAUGGACAGAAGAAAGUGAAAAAUGAAAUCUAGAACAAGGUUCAAAGUGAAAUUGUAUUGUUUUUCAUAUUUUAGUUGUACUAGAAUGUAUUAAGUUAUAUUGGUUCUAAAUUUUUCACAUCCUCAGUUGUCGCGUACACAACCAAACAUAUCUUAAGGAAAAAAUAAACCUUUUUUCAUUGUAAUCCUUAAUCAAGCCAAUGACUGAUAAGCCAAGUGGAAGGACUAUAGUAGAAUGAAGAGGAUAUAAUAAUAACUUAAUCAGCAACCCCUUCAUAUCAAUUAUUAAGCCCACAUGGGAUUCAAAGUCAGUUUGAAAUUGAAUCCAUAUAUAGUUCGCACUAGUGCAAAUAGGUUGAAGAGUAAACAAUAGUCAAAAUUAAGUGUAUGCACAUGUUCCUUUAUUUCAUGCGCUGAAAUUCAAUGAAGAACGUGAUUUUUGUCUUCCUGUAAUGAGGGAAAAGCCAAUUAGUUGUCAUUUGUCAGUUCCUUAUAUUAGUAUGAUUCUUUAUUAUUAGUUUCUUGUGUUCCGAGCAGUUGCUAUUCAGUACAAUAGUUCAUUUAUAACUGCAAGUGAUUCAUACGAUUCCCCUCAUGCAACUGAUGAUUUGCAUUUAAGGUUAUUCUAUUUGCAAAAGGCAAUAUUAUACCUGCAUUUAUUGCAGUGAAGAAAGGCCUGGCAAUUAGACAAUGCCACUCGUGAGUUUCAUGCAUUGAUAACACCAAUAUGGAUUACUACAAGCGUGUGCUAAGAAAAAAAAACAAGUCAUGAGUUGGAGUGUUCCUGUGCAAGAAACACUGCAUUAACAUUACUGAGAUCUCCGAUAAAUCUGAAUCUGAAUCAGUUAGCCCUUAUGGAUUUUUGUUGAUAUUUGAUUCCUUCUGUCUCCUGAACUUCCAAUAUAUAUUGAGCUAAUCUCAGUGGAAGGAAGGUAUAUCCAAAGACCCAAUUGUGUAGAGUCAAUCUCAAAGCCUUUCUCUUGUCUGAGAAAAUGGAAGUCACCCCUUUUAGCCCAAAAUCUCAUUCUCAUCAUCACCAAUCUCGCUCAAAGAGCUUGCCCUGUAAACCACACCCUCUUAUUCUACAAUGCAAUCAACACUUAGGAAGUUUAGAGGCUUCAGCUUCUGAUGCAACUUCCUCUUCAUCAUCAUUGUUCAGACAAAAAUUAACUGGUCUGCAGACUUUGCAUGAUUCUAUUGAAAAGCUGGUUCUACUUCCUCAUACUCAAGAAGUCCUAGUCCAAGAGCGUCAAGAGAAGUGGGUAGAUGAGCUUUUGGAUGGAUCUUUAAGGCUCCUAGAUGUAUGUACUGGUGCAAAGGAUGCUCUGCUUCACACAAAGGAAUGUGCACGAGAACUUCAAUCGAUUAUGAGAAGAAAGAGGGGAGGUGAAAUGGAGGUGGCAGCUGAGGUCAGGAAAUUCUUGGCCUCUAGGAAGGUAGUAAAGAAGGCAAUCCUCAAAGCAUUGGAGAGUUUGCAGGCAACAGUGAAGAAAGCAAAAUUUUCUCCAAGCAACAAGGACCACCGAACCACAACCUUGGCUAACUUGUUCAAAGAUGUGGAAGUAAUCACUCUUUCCAUAUUGGAGUCCCUGAUGAACUUCAUCUCGGGAUCAGCACAACCCAAACCAAGUAAAUGGUCUUUGGUUUCCAAACUAAUGAACAACAAAAAGGUCACUUCUACACAAGAAUCAGAUCAGAAUGAAUUUUCCAAUGUGGAUGCUGCAUUGCAAUCGUUUGUGUUUCACAUGACAAGAAAGUCUGACCAUAUCAAUAAUUUGCAGAACCAUUUAAAAGAUUUAGAGUCAGUCAUUCAAGACUUCGUGGAAGGACUUGAAGCUCUUUUUAAACGUUGUAUCAAAAUUAGAGUUUCUCUUCUCAACAUCCUCAAUCACUAGUUGUACAAAUCCGUGCCAAUGUUUUGUGAUUAUGUCAAUGAAAUUGGCUCCUAAUUUAGAUGAUAAUCUUUCUCUACCAUUUUUUUUGGUUUCAUAUGUUGUUUAUUUCCUCAGUAACUCUUUGUGCAUACUUUUUGCAAUUUGAUGCAUUUUCUCUAUCAAUUUGUAAAGCUAUUCCGUUGUGGCUGUAAACUUAGCCUCUGAAGCUUAUAUGGUUAUCACAUUUUUUAUUUUUACUGCAUCCUUUUGUACUGUUAGUCCCAUGGUUAAAUGACAUUGUAUCAUUGAUUUUGUUAAUAUCCUUCAAUAAAGUGCUAAAGGCUCAAACUUCUCAAAGCACUGUGGUUAAUAGUGAUUAUUGUUUAAUGGGUGAGAAAGCCAAAGAAACUUUAUAUCCCUAAUAUUUUCUUUCUUAUCCAAUUCCAAAUGCGCAUUCAAAAACUCUUUUCCAAUCAAAGAUUGAAGAAUACUGCAGCUGCAUAAAGCUGUAGAUAAUUUUAAAUGUCAAGUUGUUAAAUAUACAUUUUAAUUCAAAACUGUUAGAACAAAGGUGGUUGAAACCUUAAAUCCCGGGCAACAUAAUAAGCUCCACUUGGGAAAUAGAAUAUUCUGUAAAAAAAUGUUAAUGUAUUGAAGCAGAAGAAAUUACUACUAACCUCCACUUAUGGUUGUUCACGUGUCAAUGGAAGCAGAAGAAGAUUAAUUAACAGGUAUUGAGCUGGGGACAAUAAACAUUGCCACCAAGAAGUAGCCAAUAUAUUGCUAUAUCUGAAGAUGAAGGUUUCUCUUGUCGUGAAUCUGUCCUGUCCUGUUGUAGGUAGACAAUUUCAUAGACUGAAAAUCAAUUAUGUUAGGAAACAGCUCCUCUCAUCCUCCAGACAGAAGCUCCCAUUACAAUGCAUUCAUCACACAGCAUGAACUAGUGUAUUGUCAAGAUAUGCCACUUUGCAAGAAUCCAUGUGAUUCCCAACUCACAAGUAAAAAAUUGAGGGAUGAGUUGGAAGCAGAUGCAUAAUGGUUAAGAUGCUGAGAUCCAAAUCAAGAUCAUAUAAUUGCAUACUCAUUAGGUGACAUUGGAGGAAAAAACAAUUCCUCUUGUCUCCCUUAUUCUGUUUCUUCAUCUGCUAUAUAUAAUACAAAUGCCUACCACAACAACUCAGGCUUUGAAGCAAACUCUACACAUUACCUUCUAAGAAGAAAAAAU